AUUGAACGCUGGCGGCAUGCCUUACACAUGCAAGUCGAACGGUAACGGGCCUUCGGGUGCCGACGAGUGGCGAACGGGUGAGUAAUACAUCGGAACGUGCCCGAUCGUGGGGGAUAACGAGGCGAAAGCUUUGCUAAUACCGCAUACGAUCUACGGAUGAAAGCAGGGGACCGCAAAGCCUUGCGCGGACGGAGCGGCCGAUGGCAGAUUAGGUAGUUGGUGGGAUAAAAGCUUACCAAGCCGACGAUCUGUAGCUGGUCUGAGAGGAUGAUCAGCCACACUGGGACUGAGACACGGCCCAGACUCCUACGGGAGGCAGCAGUGGGGAAUUUUGGACAAUGGGCGCAAGCCUGAUCCAGCCACGCCGCGUGCAGGAUGAAGGCCUUCGGGUUGUAAACUGCUUUUGUACGGAACGAAAAGCCUUCUUUUAAUACAGGAGGGUCAUGACGGUACCGUAAGAAUAAGCACCGGCUAACUACGUG
This 482-nucleotide ribosomal RNA is filed under the name uncultured bacterium. RNAcentral describes it as "partial 16S ribosomal RNA". It matches the Rfam family "Bacterial small subunit ribosomal RNA", at positions 30 to 507 of the family's 1533-position model. The record is from RNAcentral.